Long non-coding RNA from Amblyraja radiata (thorny skate), 94 nucleotides. RefSeq lists it as uncharacterized. NCBI's taxonomy places the organism in Eukaryota, Metazoa, Chordata, Chondrichthyes, Rajiformes, Rajidae. The transcript has 3 exons. The record is from RefSeq and is a predicted model, not a curated record.
GUGACACACUUGAGGGGGAUUUCAUGUGCGCUCUCAUAAUUUUGGCUGGAUUAAAGGGGAUGCAGGACCACCAGUUGCCAGAAAAUCGGUAGUG